RNAcentral lists this microRNA precursor (153 nucleotides) under Oryza brachyantha (malo sina). Its description in RNAcentral is "MIR812 microRNA precursor family". It matches the Rfam family "MIR812 microRNA precursor family", at positions 32 to 190 of the family's 205-position model. Lineage: Eukaryota; Viridiplantae; Streptophyta; Magnoliopsida; Poales; Poaceae. The record is from Rfam by way of RNAcentral.
UUUUGACUAUUCAUCUUAUCUGAAAUUUCUUUGCGAUAAUUUUUUUCUUACUAGAUGAUAAAACAUGAAUAUUACUUUAUGCGUGACUAAUUUUUUUUUAUUUUUAUAUAAAUUUUUUAAAUAAGAUGAAUGGUCAACUAGACACGGAAAAAC